Molecule: long non-coding RNA, 109 nt
Organism: Dipodomys spectabilis (banner-tailed kangaroo rat)
Lineage: Eukaryota; Metazoa; Chordata; Mammalia; Rodentia; Heteromyidae
Exons: 3
Source: RefSeq, a predicted model, not a curated record
GAGAGAGCGCACAUGGCGACCUCCACUGUCUAGGUAGCAACAGGGUCUGGGGGUAGGAAGUGAGGUAGAUGGCAGUUCAGGUGGGUCUGGGUGGAGAGAGGGAGGGGCC